This is a long non-coding RNA of Selaginella moellendorffii, 1061 nucleotides long. RefSeq lists it as uncharacterized. The record is from RefSeq and is a predicted model, not a curated record. The transcript is spliced from 3 exons. NCBI's taxonomy places the organism in Eukaryota, Viridiplantae, Streptophyta, Lycopodiopsida, Selaginellales, Selaginellaceae.
UCCACAUUCUCACGUUCAGGAGAUAAGUUCAUUGCAAUGGCAAUGGCAAAGGGUAAGGCAGUGUAGUGCUCUUGGUUGUUGCACUUGUGGCUGUGGAGUCAUUCCGCCCAGAGACGUUCCUCACUCUCAAUGAUGGGGAGUCUCAGGACCAUGUAAACGCCUGCAUACCUUCUGGAACUGUUUGUAAUCCUAGCACUUCUCAGUGCUGUUCGCAAAUUUGUGUCCCGCUUGGCAGUUCUGGCCUAGGCGUGUGCUCUUGAGCUAAAGGGUAUUGUAUGCCCUGGGCAGCAAGCUUGGUGCUGGAUUGGACGUUAUUAAUAAUGGUUGUAAUGCACUGUAUGCAAUAAAAGCACUGCCAAGCUGAAGUUGUUCUUGUUAGUUGCACUCACAUUGCAUUUGGAAGACUUUGUAACUACUACAUGUACAUCUUUGAUGUGAAACUUCUCCAUGUCCACAUGUACUUGAAGCACAAGUGAUCCCAGCUUUUUGUGACUAUAUAUAGAUCUUGCGAGUGAGAGUUCAUCUUUACCAUGUAGACUUGCAGACCAUCAAGAUGCUCGAGACCAUCGCUGGGCUGAUAGUACUUAUCUGGAGUCAUGUUCGUACAGUUUCAGCCUCCAGCAGACUUGAGUUUGGGAGGUGCCAGUUUAAACCACUGUGUGGAGAACAAUCAGCUAUUGAAAUUGCACUUGUGCUAGAAGAUUAACUAUACGGACAUUUUCUUGUGAGUUUAUACAAGUUUUAGUGAUUCUUGCUCACGGAGCUCAGAGCAGAUUUUGGAGAUGCUAUGGCAGCUUGCCGAGCACGACGCCAUUGGCUAGGGCUUUGGAGCGGCAGAUCUCUAUGCCGAGCCAGGGAGCAAUCAUGGCGUUGCUUGCUCAUUCGCGCAGGAUCGUUCUGGCAGGUAGCAGUGCGCAUGCUAAGGCAGGAUUUCGGUUAGAGGAUUCUUUAUUUUUUCGUUUUGUCUCAGAUUUGACUACAUUUUAUAGCCGAGAAUCUUGGAGGAGAUCGCAAGAAGCACGACGAUAUUGCCAUCCUCACUGGAGCUGGCCAUGAAGUCC